Molecule: ribosomal RNA, 530 nt
Filed under: Stenotrophomonas rhizophila
Lineage: Bacteria; Pseudomonadati; Pseudomonadota; Gammaproteobacteria; Lysobacterales; Lysobacteraceae
Description: bacterial SSU rRNA
Rfam family: Bacterial small subunit ribosomal RNA
Source: RNAcentral
UCGAACGGCAUCACACGUAAGAGCUUGCUCUUAUGGGUGGCGAGUGGCGGACGGGUGAGGAAUACAUCGGAAUCUACCUUUUCGUGGGGGAUAACGUAGGGAAACUUACGCUAAUACCGCAUACGACCUUCGGGUGAAAGCAGGGGACCUUCGGGCCUUGCGCGGAUAGAUGAGCCGAUGUCGGAUUAGCUAGUUGGCGGGGUAAAGGCCCACCAAGGCGACGAUCCGUAGCUGGUCUGAGAGGAUGAUCAGCCACACUGGAACUGAGACACGGUCCAGACUCCUACGGGAGGCAGCAGUGGGGAAUAUUGGACAAUGGGCGCAAGCCUGAUCCAGCCAUACCGCGUGGGUGAAGAAGGCCUUCGGGUUGUAAAGCCCUUUUGUUGGGAAAGAAAAGCAGUCGGCUAAUACCCGGUUGUUCUGACGGUACCCAAAGAAUAAGCACCGGCUAACUUCGUGCCAGCAGCCGCGGUAAUACUAAGGGUGCAAGCGUUACUCGGAAUUACUGGGCGUAAAACGUGCGUAGGUGG